Molecule: long non-coding RNA, 1372 nt
Filed under: Homo sapiens (human)
Lineage: Eukaryota; Metazoa; Chordata; Mammalia; Primates; Hominidae
Description: HSALNT0180147
Source: RNAcentral
CACUGAGGUGGAGCCUUUGGGACUUUUGCAGCGGGGAGGAGCCUGGCCCCUCCUCUUCCUGUGUGGACCCUCGGAUUCAAGCUGCUGGCGGGAAGUGCGCUAGGCGGAGCUGUGGUCUAGCGAGAGUCCCUGUUUCCCCCUUUUCUUCCUUUUCACAGGAUCUCACCCCAUAAAACCCUGUCUUACCAUUCAAAUUGUCUGUAAGCCUGAAUUUUCGCGGCCCUAAGACAAAGAACCUUGUCUUUCACUGAAUUUAAAAAAAGUCCUGCAACAUUUUUGGUGCACAACGUGGGGGUUCGAGAAGCGAUUUUCUGGUCAGAUUAAGCCAAGUAAAAUGAACUUAACUCAAAGCCUUGAAGACAGAAAAACUUAUAAAAGUACAGCCUGCAGUAUUCUCAUUCAGAAAGAACAACAGGGCAAAAGACCUGAAGAAGGAGCAUACUGCGGUUUUCAGAAUACCAUCGAGGAGGAGAGAGGUCUACUGUUAUGAAUUGCCACAACUUGGAGGCUUAGAACAACACAAAUUAGUACUCUCACAGUCCUGAAGGCUACAGCUCUGCAAUCAAGAUAUCAGCAAGGCCAUCAUUCCACUAAGGCUCUAAGGAAGAAUCCAUUUUUGCCUCUUCCUGCUUCUGGGUGGGGCAGUAGGAGACACUGAAUUCACAUAUCAUUGAAAACCAAAAUAUUAGAAGAGCUUAAGUUUUAAAGAAUGCUGGCAAAUGUUUAAGCGAUCAGCACUGCUGGUUUACUAUAAACAUAAUGGACUACACGUUGAGUACCUUGACAUAUGAGUAAAUUCAUAUAGUACAAAUCAUUCAACACACAUAUCUUGAGAACAAGUGAGAAGACAGCCAUCUGCAAACCAGAGAGAAAGUCCUCAUAAGGAACUGAAUCAAACUUCACCUUGAUCUUGGGCUUCCCAGCCUUUGCAACUGUGAGAAAUAAAUGUGUCUUUAUGCCACCUUGUCUAUGGUAUGUUAUAGCAGCCCAAGCCAACUAAUACAGGCAGGAACUGAAGAAAACAUUACUUACUAGCAGCUGCUGUGAUCAGGUAACUCAAAUUAUUGUUGGUUUUCAGCAGCACCAAAAAGAGUUGGAAAUAGUCUGCUCUGAGCUUCAUGCAGGUAGAACCCCUGUAGUGGCAUCUCUGAACUCUCUGUGUUAUCAGAUUUCCCAAAAGCUCUUUUCCUCUCCCUUUUCCCCUUCCACCUUACCAUUGAUUAUAUCCGUUUCUAUUCAAUCAUAUUAAAUAAUUUCUUACUCAAAAUAUUUAUGGGUUUUAAAUUUUUCUUACUCUUUGAUAUACUUCAACAAAGCAAAGGUAUCUAGGGAGUUAAUUGUCUUGUUUCUGGGUGUCUCUGUGAGGGUGCUG